UCCCCCGGCGGGGCCCGCGGCCUGCCCCUUCCUCCCCGCGCGGCCGGCGAGGGCUGCGGGGGGGCGCGGCCCCGGCUCGGGAGCGUGCACCGUGCACUGCGCACUGGCCCCGGGCGGGACUCUGCGCAAAGCCGCUCCCUGGGGACCGCCGGGUGGGGGGGCGAGCCUGGACGCGCUGAGGUUCCACGAGGCAGGAUGUACCGUGGUUCCCGAAGUGCGGGUUUCCUUAUCUGUCCUCUUGACGGACCUCUGGGCUGUUCCAGUCUCUUGCGACAGAGCGUCCGGAAACACUCCUGCCGCGGCCUCGCGGGCAGCCCAAUCGAGGCAUGUUGGUCCAGCUCUCCCAGCGCACCGGCAGCGUUAGAUGCUGUCAGUCUUUUCAGUGUUGGCCAUCCAGUGCGCAUGCACUAGCUGUCACCGGAGUUUUCUCUGCGUGUGUCUGAUGCUUCACGAAGGUGCACUCCAGCCCAGCCUGGGGCUUGAACUCAGGAUCCUGAGAUCAAGGGUGGCAGGCCCUACCAACAGAGCCAGCCGGGUGCCCCUGUAUUUAGGAUGGAAAUCCUGUAUCAGACACAUGUAAAACAUAUACUUUUUCACUGAAUGGGGCAUAUGUGUUUCAAAUAACGGUGCUUCUGGGGCGCCGGAGUUGCUGAGUGGCUUAAGCAUCUGCUUGGGCUCAGGUCAUGAUCCUGGGAUCCUGGGACUGAAUUCUACAUUGGGCUGUUCCUCUGCGGGGAGCCUGCUUCUUUCCUCUCCCUCUGCUCCUCCUGCUUUCUCUCUGUCAAAUAAAUAAAGUCUUUAAAAAUGAUAAUAAUAAAAAAUAAAAAGUAAAAUA
Molecule: long non-coding RNA, 835 nt
Organism: Mustela lutreola (European mink)
Lineage: Eukaryota; Metazoa; Chordata; Mammalia; Carnivora; Mustelidae
Exons: 3
Source: RefSeq, a predicted model, not a curated record